This 497-nucleotide ribosomal RNA is filed under the name uncultured bacterium. Its description in RNAcentral is "partial 16S ribosomal RNA". It matches the Rfam family "Bacterial small subunit ribosomal RNA", at positions 28 to 507 of the family's 1533-position model. The record is from RNAcentral.
GAUGAACGCUGGCGGCGUGCCUAAUACAUGCAAGUCUAGCGAACGGACGAGAAGCUUGCUUUUCUGAUGUUAGCGGCGGACGGGUGAGUAACACGUGUAUAACCUACCUAUAAUACUGGGAUAACUUCGGGAAACCGGAUCUAAUACCGGAUAAUAUUUUGAACCGCAUUGUUCAAAAGUGAAAGACGGUCUUGCUGUCACUUAUAGAUGCAUCCGCGCUGCAUUAGCUAGUUGGUAAGGUAACGGCUUACCAAGGCAACGAUGCAUAGCCGACCUGAGAGGGUGAUCGGCCACACUGGAACUGAGACACGGUCCAGACUCCUACGGGAGGCAGCAGUAGGGAAUCUUCCGCAAUGGGCGAAAGCCUGACGGAGCAACGCCGCGUGAGUGAUGAAGGUCUUGGGAUCGUAAAACUCUGUUAUUAGGGAAGAACAUAUGUGUAAGUAACUGUGCACAUAUUGACGGUAACUAAUAAGAAAGCAACGGCUAACUACGUG